GGGGCCUGAAGGCCGCCGCCGCGUGAAUCCAACGUUGGAACCAUUGAAGCAUAUUCUGUACACUUUCUGGCAGCUAACUCGUUUGCACUGACUCGAGUUUUCUUACCGCAAACCUAUAAACAGGCGCAUUAGACAGUGUCUUCACAUAGUGCGACGUCAUACGAAGCACCUUCACAGCUAGCUGCAGCAGGACAGGAUCUCCUUCGCUCCUUUGAUCCACGGCCUUUGUAUGUGCACCCCGACUUACACUCUCCAGAAGUCCAUACACUCCAGCUAGUGCCACUAGAUGGCGUCUCGGUUGGUUUGUAUGAUGGAUCCACUAGCAUACAAGUACCGCCGUCACACCACUGAGGAAUGGCCAUCGCCCUCAAGCGGCUUUACAAAUAUCAAAACAGUUAAAAAAAUAUUCUUGAAUAAACCUUUCCAUGACCACAAGAGGUCCCUGGCAGAGCAGGCCCAGAGUAAUAAAACCCAGCACGAUGCGGAGUCCUGCAGUCACAGGACACUCACUGCAAAUCAGCCGCGACGCGUGCGCUGCAGUGUGACCAUGUUGCCUCUCCGUUAGUUCCACGAGAUGGAGACAUUAUGAAACCGUCCCUUGCGCACGAGUUUCCUGAUCCAUCGUGAUGCAUGCCCAGACUGGAAUGUAUUAAUGUAUUGUAUAUAAUGGAAAAAAUAUAUCAUAAUAUCUGCUAUA
Pieris napi is the source of this 697-nucleotide long non-coding RNA. RefSeq lists it as uncharacterized. NCBI's taxonomy places the organism in Eukaryota, Metazoa, Arthropoda, Insecta, Lepidoptera, Pieridae. The record is from RefSeq and is a predicted model, not a curated record. The transcript has 4 exons.